GCCAUGCUGACGAGUCCUACAUAAGGACGAAACAGCUGUCCAUGGU
RNAcentral lists this non-coding RNA (46 nucleotides) under Nematostella vectensis (starlet sea anemone). Lineage: Eukaryota; Metazoa; Cnidaria; Anthozoa; Actiniaria; Edwardsiidae. The record is from RNAcentral.